Molecule: long non-coding RNA, 989 nt
Organism: Meleagris gallopavo (turkey)
Lineage: Eukaryota; Metazoa; Chordata; Aves; Galliformes; Phasianidae
Source: Ensembl
CAGGGUUUGUUUCCAGGUUAGAUCUUCCACGUUCUGCCUCAGGCCCUGUCUCCUUUCCUACCAAGUUCUUUGUCACAUCUCUAUUCGUGUCCUAGUUGCUGUGACAGUGUGAAAUUUAUCCAUGACAGUAAGAGAAGCUAGUGCAGAAGGCAGCAGGACCUCAUGGUGUACACCUUCAUGCUUUGAAGGAGCAGCAAUUGCUGACGCUGAUUUUAAGCCCUAGAUUGGACUUUUGGGUCAUGUAACAGUUCUAUCCCAUAAAACAGCCCUGGAAAGUUGUAGUAAAGAGAAGCAAAGUCUUUCCACAUCCUCUUUUGUUUUCUUCCUGCUUUAUAGAUAACUCAGAACUCCUAAAUUCUCCUUAUUCCUCACUUUCAGCAUGAAGCUGGUGAUUCUGAUUCAUUAUCUUAUCUGAACUGAUCAUGUUAUUUUUCAAAUGAAAGAAAAAACAAACCUUAUUAUUGUUAUAUCCUUGUCUCAGCAGCACUGCUGCAUUAAUUCAGCCUUCCUUCCUUCCUCUCAGGGUUAACUGCUCUCCCCAUUGGUGAAGUUAAGACUGUCUGCCAAUAUGAUCAAGUUUCAAAAACCAAACCCAACCAGAACGGAGAGCCAAGAAGUGGGCAGGGGUUUGUUUAAUGUGUUGGCACAGUAACUAAAGGUUUUGAGGUGGCUGUGAAGGGUUACACUCCCUCAAUCAGAAAAAUGCUGUCAGCUGGGAAGGAAGGGAGGAGGCCAUGGCUGUUACUGCUUCCUCCGCAGAUAAAUACAGGGGAUGCAAUCAGUUUCCAUACAGCCAGCACAACACAGCAGAGGAGCAGCAACUCCCCGAGGACCUCAGCUUGUUGGUGCAUCCGUGAAUCUGAAUCCUGAGACUUGGAAGAUGCAGCAGCAGGAUUGGGAACCAAGGGCACCAAGGAAAGGAUCGUUAAUACAUUAAUGAAAAUGCACACAGACAAGCCCAAAUAAUGGACCGUAUGUAUUGUUAACCC